CCCUUAGAUGUUCUGGGCCGCACGCGUGCUACACUGACCGGCGCAACAAGCUUUUUUCCUUGGCUCGACAGGCCUGGGUAAUCUUCGAACGCCGGUCGUGAUGGGGAUAGAUCCUUGCAAUUUUUGAUCUUCAACGAGGGAUUCCUAGUAAAUGCGAGUCAUCAUCUCGCGUUGAUUACGUCCCUGCCCUUUGUACACACCGCCCGUCGCACCUACCGAUUGAAUGGUCCGGUGAAGCCUCCGGAUUGCACAGGCCCCGUGUCUGGCGCGAGAAGUUGGCUAAACCUUACCAUUUAGAGGAAGGUGAAGUCGUAACA
This 317-nucleotide ribosomal RNA is filed under the name uncultured eukaryote. RNAcentral describes it as "partial 18S ribosomal RNA". It matches the Rfam family "Eukaryotic small subunit ribosomal RNA", at positions 1470 to 1796 of the family's 1831-position model. The record is from RNAcentral.